CCUACGGGGGGCAGCAGUGGGGAAUAUUGGACAAUGGGGGGAACCCUGAUCCAGCGACGCCGCGUGAGUGAAGAAGUAUUUCGGUAUGUAAAGCUCUAUCAGCAGUGAAGAAAGAAAUGACGGUACCUGACUAAGAAGCCCCGGCUAACUACGUGCCAGCAGCCGCGGUAAUACGGAGGGGGCAAGCGUUAUCCGGAUUUACUGGGUGUAAAGGGAGCGUAGACGGCGAUGCAAGUCUGAAGUGAAAGGCGGGGGCCCAACCUCCGGACUGCUUUGGAAACUGGAUGGCUGGAGUGCAGGAGAGGUAAGUGGAAUUCCUAGUGUAGCGGUGAAAUGCGUAGAUAUUAGGAGGAACACCAGUGGCGAAGGCGGCUUACUGGACUGUAACUGACGUUGAGGCUCGAAAGCGUGGGGAGCAAACAGGAUUAGAUACCCCAGUAGUC
This 443-nucleotide ribosomal RNA is filed under the name uncultured bacterium. Its description in RNAcentral is "partial 16S ribosomal RNA". It matches the Rfam family "Bacterial small subunit ribosomal RNA", at positions 338 to 795 of the family's 1533-position model. The record is from RNAcentral.